RNAcentral lists this ribosomal RNA (309 nucleotides) under uncultured bacterium. RNAcentral describes it as "partial 16S ribosomal RNA". It matches the Rfam family "Bacterial small subunit ribosomal RNA", at positions 504 to 809 of the family's 1533-position model. The record is from RNAcentral.
AGAGACAGCAGUCGCCACGGUAAUACAGAGGGUGCGAGCGUUAAUCGGAUUUACUGGGCGUAAAGCGUGCGUAGGCGGCUUUUUAAGUCGGAUGUGAAAUCCCUGAGCUUAACUUAGGAAUUGCAUUCGAUACUGGGAAGCUAGAGUAUGGGAGAGGAUGGUAGAAUUCCAGGUGUAGCGGUGAAAUGCGUAGAGAUCUGGAGGAAUACCGAUGGCGAAGGCAGCCAUCUGGCCUAAUACUGACGCUGAGGUACGAAAGCAUGGGGAGCAAACAGGAUUAGAUACCCGCGUAGUCCCUGUCUCUUAUAU